AUUUUUACAUUCGCCAGUAUCCGUUAUUCUGCAACUCCCUUUGAGAUCUUAUUAUAUGUGACAAUAAAUUAAUGUCCUUCUCUCUCUGAUUUUCGCUUUCUCUCAAGACAUUGCACGGUCUUUGAAGCACGGUGUAUUUUCCAGAAGAUACAUCGUGUAAAACAUUUACAAGGAAACCAAACAUACGGAGAUUGAGAUAUAACUUAAAAACAGAUGUACAAAUUAAUGUUUAAUAUGCCUACCAAAAUAAUCCCCCCCCCCC
Molecule: long non-coding RNA, 262 nt
Filed under: Mytilus galloprovincialis (Mediterranean mussel)
Lineage: Eukaryota; Metazoa; Mollusca; Bivalvia; Mytilida; Mytilidae
Source: RNAcentral